RNAcentral lists this long non-coding RNA (745 nucleotides) under Physcomitrium patens. Its description in RNAcentral is "long non-coding RNA (PPAT_LNC012567)". The record is from RNAcentral. Lineage: Eukaryota; Viridiplantae; Streptophyta; Bryopsida; Funariales; Funariaceae.
AAGAAAUUUAUUGGAAGGAUUUUCGUGGCCACGGUGAUUUAGUAAUUUUAAUAAAGCUUUAGGAUUUUUUUUCAAUUCUUCACAUUUGCACUCUUGGAUUCUUUCUUUGUGGUGUGAGAGAUAACUUGACUUAUUUGUUGUAGAUUCUUAAUCUUUCCAUUAGAGUAUGUCAAUUGUGCAUUUGUAUUUGGAUAAAAUUACAUACUUUGUGAUUGAUUUGUACCACUCAAAGUGUUGUAUAUAAUUAUCUUUGUUCAUAUAAUAAAAUGCUUAAGCUUAGAAUCAUUGCCAAAUGAAUUUAGCACCCUUGUAUCUUUAACUAUCUUCAAUAUAUGCAAUUGUUUAAGCUUAAUAUUUUACUACCAAAUAAAUUUGGCAACCUUAUUUCUUUGACCAUCUUUAAUAUAAAUUGGUGCUUAAAAUUGAAUUUAUUCUUAAAUGAAAUGGCAACCUCACAUUUGUGACCAUCUUUGAUAUGCAAGAGCUGAAGAUUAUUACUAUUGCUAAAUGUAUUGAAGAACUUCAUAUUUUUGAAUAAAUUUAGAAAUCAAAGAUUUAAAACUUAGAAAUUUAAAUAAAUAGGUGCAAUAAUCCAUGAUAAGACAUAAUCUAAAAUUUUAAGAAUUUUAUAUAACAUAUAGAAAAGGUUAAUUAAAUUAAAAUCGUGUUUGAAUCUAUUAUGUUUUUUAUUCAAAAUCCAGAAUUUUAUAUUAUUUAAAUUUUUAAUCUUGGUUAAAAAAAUAUA